Long non-coding RNA from Callithrix jacchus (white-tufted-ear marmoset), 3147 nucleotides. The record is from Ensembl. NCBI's taxonomy places the organism in Eukaryota, Metazoa, Chordata, Mammalia, Primates, Cebidae.
AUCUUCAGUCUUAUAUCUUUGAACUGCAGGCAAAGACUCUUCUAUAGCUCAAUCCUAUGGGGAAUGAUUACUCUUACAUCUGUUACUUCAAUAAUUUUUGGAGGAGGAGGAAAUCUGAGACUGAACGGAAAACCCAGCCAUGUUGCAGAUUGUCUGGCCUUCAAUGGCCAGCAUAUCUCAUUCUUCUUGGGUGUCAUGCAAGAACUCGGGAACUACCACACACAGGUUAAUUCAAGAACACAUUCAAAUGGUGCAUGUGUUUGGUAUCAUCAACAGUAGAUGAAGAAUCUGACAUCACUCUCAGUAAUACAGAGACCUGAAUACAUGGUUUAUAGGAAAUAAUCAAGUGAUUCAGAAAACAAUUUUUAAGAAGUAAAGAUUAUUUUAAAUUAUUGUAGGCUUCAGAAAAAAAACACAUUUUCUUGUCAACUGUUUCUUUAUGGUUAUCUUAAGGCUUUUGUCAUCCACAAUUGAUGUUUUGCUUUGAUCUUUCUAAAAAAAAAAAAAGUAACUUAUAAUCAGCUACAGUCCAAGGCCUGCUUCUUUGGAAGAGUUCAUGAAAAGUACUCUUGAAUACAGGUUUCUGAUAACUUCGGAGACUGUGCCAUUGGAUUAGAGAGAAAACUUCCAGGGCACUGAUUGAAAGGCUGAUGUAUUCUUGAAGAUUGCUAACCCAAUAUGAAGAAGAGCAGGAGUUGAUUGCAUGGACUAAAUUAAUGGAAGACAGAAAUAGCUUUUUAUGGCCUUUGUUAUUUGAAAUAUUGCUGAUUCUUUUUUUUUUUUUUUUCAAAAUCUGGAGAAUCUUUUCCUUUUGAGCUAUUUGUAGCCUUGGAAUAUACUUUAAGUCUAUUGAGUAUACUUCUGAAAACAUAAUUUAAGUCAUAUAUUUCUCUUUGUCUAAUUUCUUCAGAAUUUGUAAACUAUUUGUGAAAAUUCUUAAUUCAUGGCACUAUGUUUGGUUGCAUACAGUUAAUAACAACAUGUUUUAUUUUGUAAUGAGACACAUUUGAAGGGACUCGUUAUUUUCUCGGGGCUCUGACCAAAAUGGCCUUGUGAGAUGUUUCAGUAAAGCCAAUUUGGGAGUGUCUAUAUGGACAGUGAUUUUUAUCACAUUUUGUAUGGGUAAUAAAGCCACGUAUGUGGGACUAAAGCUAAUAUUUCAGGUAGAUUGGUCCUUCUUUGAUUUGUCUCUGGUAUAAGUGGUGGACUGAAGAGAGAAAUACUGUAUGUAAGAAGAAAGCUCUGUAUCUUAUUAUAUCUGAUUAACCAUUGAUUCCUGGGUGGCUACAUGGUCAACCAUGGUAUGGAGCUGCUGACAACACCCCUCCUCAGCAUAAAGCAGGCAGAAGGAUUGACAGCUAGAUUCCUCAUGAUUGAGGAAUUGAAAAAUAGAAAGUGGAGACUGAAAUCAGCCCAAGACUCCCAUAAACAGUCAUUUUUGGAUAAACAUAGAAACUGAUCUCUGGUGUUUUGGUAACAAUCAGAAAAUUGGAAAAAGAAAAUAUGGUACAUAUACAUCGUGCAAUACUGUACAGCCAUAAAAAGGAAUGAGUUAAUUUCCUUUGCAGGGAUGUGAAUGGAGCUGGAAGUCAUUACCCUCAGCAAGCUAAUGCAGGAACAGAAAACCAGGGACUGCAUGUUCUCACUUGUAGGUGGGAGCUGAACAAUUUAAACACAUGGACACAUGGUGGGGAAGAACAUACACUGGAGCCUGUUGGAGGAGACUGGAGGAGAAAGAGCAUAAGGAAGAAUAGCUAAUGGAUGCUGGGCUUAAUAAAUAGGAAUGGGUUGAUCUGUGCAAAGAACAACUAUGGCACAUAGUAACAAACUAUGUAACAAACUAACAAAGUAUGACACCUCUGUAACAAAGCUGCACAUCCUGCACAUAUAUGCUGGAACUUAAAAAGAUAAAGAAAGAUAAAAGAUAAAAAAAGAUGAGGAAACGUUUAUCUUUUAAAGAAAAAAUUUAAAAUUAUCUUUAAAAUUUAAAGAAAAAGAUAGAGAAAAAUAACACACAAAAUUUCUUUCUUUCUUUUUUUUUUUUUUGAGACCAAGCUCUCCCUCUGUCACACAGGCUAGAGUGCAGUGGUAUGAUCUCAGCUCACUGCAACCUCUGCCUCGCAGGAUCAAGUGAUUCUUCUGUCUCAGCCUCCCAGGUACCUGGGAUUAUAGGCACCCACCAUCACAUGUGGUUAAUUUUGUUGUAUUUUUAGUAGAUAUUGAGUUUCAUCAUGUUGGUCAGGUUGGUCUUGAUCUCCUGACUACCAGCAAUCCACCUUCCUCAGCUUCCCAAAGUUCUAGACUUAUAGGCAAAUAAUUUCUUACUAUAAUUAUUAUUCAUAAAUUAUUAUUGGCUUUUUAAAACUGCCAAUAAAACAUCAAAAGAUAAACAAAUCAGGGCCUAAAGAGCACAUUUACUAUAGUUAAGUAGACCUUUGAUAAAUAUUAAUUACAUGCAAUUUAAAGUAACUUAUAGUUAAUAAGCAUAAUAUAUGUAACUGAAAAGAUUAAAUAUAAUUAACAAUUAAUAUUAUAUUUACUUUAUAUUGCUAUAAACUUUAUUAUCAUACAACUUUACUUAGAUUAUAAUUGUAAUGAAAGUAUCAUAGAACAUGCAAUAAAUACCAUUACUUCUCAUGGCUAAUAACUUAUUCUAUAAUCAGAAACAUUUUUAGGUAUUACUCAAAUUUCUAUGUCUAUGCAUAUUCAUAUUGCUAAAAGCAACUUCUCAGAUUAAUAGUUUACUUUUAGUAGUGACAGCUAUAUUUAAGGUUUACUUUCAGUUUUACUGUUCAACUAAAAUUGCCUAUCAGAAAAUUGCUAAUUUAUUCUGAAUAAAUAAAAUAAUUAUUUUAAUACUUUUGUGAAUGAUCAUAAAAUACAUUGUUUUAGCCAACUUAAAAAGUCCAAAUGUAAGCCUCUUUAUAUUAACAAAUAUACAGGUUUCAAAAACGGUAUAGAUUGGGAUGUAACUUAAAUAAUAAAAUGUAAAUAUUAAAUUUAGGAAAUAUUAAAUUAUUUCGUAAAUAAAGUUUUAUUUGAAAACAGCCUCAUGCAUAUCAAUUGUAUGUCUACAGCUGAUUUCACACUACAACAGCAGUUACCAUAUGGCUUUCAAAGCUUUAAAUAUUUUCUGUUUGGCUUUUU